RNAcentral lists this non-coding RNA (23 nucleotides) under Arabidopsis thaliana (thale cress). The record is from RNAcentral. Lineage: Eukaryota; Viridiplantae; Streptophyta; Magnoliopsida; Brassicales; Brassicaceae.
UACCACGUCCAUGAUUGGGGCUA